UACAACAGCCAUAUCACCCUGCAGCCCAAGAGCGCUCACCCACUGAAACUAAGCAGGGCUGAGCCUGGUCAGUAACUAGAUGGGAGACUACAUGGGAAAACUAGGUUGCUGUUGGAA
Molecule: ribosomal RNA, 117 nt
Filed under: Danio rerio (zebrafish)
Lineage: Eukaryota; Metazoa; Chordata; Actinopteri; Cypriniformes; Danionidae
Source: RNAcentral